RNAcentral lists this ribosomal RNA (150 nucleotides) under Mucor genevensis. Its description in RNAcentral is "5.8S ribosomal RNA". It matches the Rfam family "5.8S ribosomal RNA". From Rfam's summary of the family: 5.8S ribosomal RNA (5.8S rRNA) is a component of the large subunit of the eukaryotic ribosome. Lineage: Eukaryota; Fungi; Mucoromycota; Mucoromycetes; Mucorales; Mucoraceae. The record is from RNAcentral.
AACUUUUAACAACGGAUCUCUUGGUUCUCGCAUCGAUGAAGAACGUAGCAAAGUGCGAUAACUAGUGUGAAUUGCAUAUCCAGUGAAUCAUCGAGUCUUUGAACGCAACUUGCGCUCCCUGGUAUUCCAGGGAGCACGCCUGUUUCAGUA